CCUACAAGAAAGUUGCACGAUGGUAAUUUUGUAAUUAAUUAGAAAGACUUCCUAUUUCGGUUGAACCAAGAAUUGAUAUCAAAAGUGAGAUAAGUGGAAUCUCUAACUCCCUCUCUUUCUCGCCUUUAUCAUUUGAUAAGAUCUCCUUUUUAAUUCUAUUCAUAGGGCUUUUCUUUUCUUGUAAGUAUAUUAGCCCAAACCCACAAGUGGAGGUGCACAUAUUUAUCAAGUGUCGCUUGUUCAUAUGAGCUCGUCGUUUAUCAUUGCCAGAGAUGUCUGGAUUUACAUAGAAUGUGUUGUUGCUUGCAUGGAGGGGAUACUUUCUCAAGCGAUGGACGUUGGCACACUAGAGAUCUAAAGAGGUUGGGCUUUGCAACAAUGGUUGAAGCAAUCUUAUUUCAUAUGUUGUUCGUUGUGGCAUAUCUGCUUCAAGCAUGGUGGAGCUCUCAUUUUAUGUGCUGCCCUUGGAAGUCUCGUGCAAUAUUUUCCAAUGAUGCUCGUGUCGCAAAUUUAUACACAGUGCAAUGAUUUCGCAUUGCUGAAGCUAACUUCCAUUCCGACGUGUGUUGCUAUGGAGAUAGUUGGUAGUCGCAUGCCCUAUUUGGCGAGGUCCUCUGCCCUAUUUGGCAAGGUCCAGGGAGGACCGGUGCGACUAUAAUGGUGGUUGUGUGUUGGUUCUGAAGGGAGAAUAUGGAUUAUAAAGAU
This 705-nucleotide long non-coding RNA is filed under the name Vigna radiata. RNAcentral describes it as "long non-coding RNA (VRAD_LNC007169)". Lineage: Eukaryota; Viridiplantae; Streptophyta; Magnoliopsida; Fabales; Fabaceae. The record is from RNAcentral.